AGCGAACGCUGGCGGCGUGCCUAACACAUGCAAGUCGAACGGUUCUGUUGGGGGCUUGCUCUCGACAGAGUAGUGGCAAACGGGUGAGUAACACGUGGGUAAUCUUCCUUCGAGUGAGGAAUAACUUCGGGAAACCGGAGCUAAUACUGCAUAACAUCUUGGAACGGCAGUUUCAAGAUCAAAGGGGGCGCAAGCUCCCGCUUGAAGUUGAGCUCGCGUCCUAUCAGCUAGUUGGUGAGGUAAUGGCUCACCAAGGCUCCGACGGGUAGCCGGCCUGAGAGGGUGGCCGGCCACACUGGGACUGAGACACGGCCCAGACUCCUACGGGAGGCAGCAGUGGGGAAUAUUGCGCAAUGGACGAAAGUCUGACGCAGCGACGCCGCGUGGGUGAUGAAGGCCUUCGGGUCGUAAAGCCCUGUUGAGGGAGAGAAAGCUACUGUCGGUUAAUACCCGGCAGUGGUGAUAGUAUCCCUAGAGAAAGCACCGGCUAACUACGUG
RNAcentral lists this ribosomal RNA (498 nucleotides) under uncultured bacterium. RNAcentral describes it as "bacterial SSU rRNA". It matches the Rfam family "Bacterial small subunit ribosomal RNA", at positions 29 to 507 of the family's 1533-position model. The record is from RNAcentral.